This 271-nucleotide long non-coding RNA is filed under the name Sarcophilus harrisii (Tasmanian devil). RNAcentral describes it as "lncRNA (ENSSHAG00000021623.1)". Lineage: Eukaryota; Metazoa; Chordata; Mammalia; Dasyuromorphia; Dasyuridae. The record is from RNAcentral.
UCAUGUCCUAGUGUUGAUGAUGAACUAAAGUGGGAAAAUGGAAGAUUUUCAACUUUGAGGUUUCUUCAGAAAACAUUUCUUAAUGCCAAUUAGAAGGGAGUUUUAGAGAAGUAUCCAACAUAGAUGAAACAGAGAGAUCUCUCUGCCGGUCUUCUUCCCUCCAAACCAAAUGACGUUCCCCAGGCUCCUCUGGAUCCUCAUCACCAAGUCAUGGAACCUGAGUAGCUGCUUCCUCCUCAGAGAAUGCAUCUCCCUUUUCUACAAAAAGAGC